This 427-nucleotide ribosomal RNA is filed under the name uncultured bacterium. Its description in RNAcentral is "bacterial SSU rRNA". It matches the Rfam family "Bacterial small subunit ribosomal RNA", at positions 355 to 775 of the family's 1533-position model. The record is from RNAcentral.
UCGAGAAUUUUUCUCAAUGGGCGAAAGCCUGAAGGAGCGACGCCGCGUGGAGGAUGAAGGCUUUCGGGUUGUAAACUCCUGUCAUUUGAGAACAAGGUUGCGCGGUUAACUGCCGCGUAAUUGAUAGUAUCAGAAGAGGAAGGGACGGCUAACUCUGUGCCAGCAGCCGCGGUAAUACAGAGGUCCCAAGCGUUGUUCGGAUUCAUUGGGCGUAAAGGGUGCGUAGGUGGCGCGCUAAGUCGGGUGUGAAAUUUCGGAGCUUAACUCCGAAACUGCAUUCGAUACUGGUGUGCUUGAGGACUGGAGAGGAGACUGGAAUUCAUGGUGUAGCAGUGAAAUGCGUAGAGAUCAUGAGGAAGACCAGUGGCGAAGGCGGGUCUCUGGACAGUUCCUGACACUGAGGCACGAAGGCCAGGGGAGCAAACGG